Molecule: ribosomal RNA, 840 nt
Filed under: Triticum aestivum (bread wheat)
Lineage: Eukaryota; Viridiplantae; Streptophyta; Magnoliopsida; Poales; Poaceae
Description: partial small subunit ribosomal RNA
Source: RNAcentral
AUGUUAACCGAAGAUGAGUUCGAGACGACAUGGGAUAUGUUACUGGAUAAGUACAAUUUGCGGAAGGGGCUAGGACCAUACUUUAGAGUUGUUUUCAGUGCCAAGAUGACCAACACACAACGCAGCGAGAGUGCUAAUCACAUGGGUUCUCAACUGCAGGUUAUGGAAAUACUUCACCUAGAAGAGAUUCCAGGUAAACAUAUUGUGAAACGGUCGAUGAAGGACGCAGGGGGCAUUUUUCCGAGCCAUCUGCAGCAGUACCAAAAGGACAAGCGAAGCAACAUAUCAUUCACAUGGAGGCAUUCGACACUGUACUUCAAAGCUAUGGACGUCGUUCGCAUGGGGGGUGCUAGUGCAGAAUCAUUUGACUUCAUGGAUGCUGCACUGGAUGAUCUACUAGUGCGUGGAGCACCUAUUGCAGAAAGGAGAGAUGGACUCGGGCUUGAGGAUCGCGUGACAACCUUGGACCCUGGGAGGCAAACUGGCAAUGGAGAGGUUGCUUUCAUGGUCGCUACAGGUGCCGAUAAAGAGAAUAGCAUGGCACAUUUUGUCAGCGUCAAUGACUUGCAAGGGCUAGCAGCACCCGCUAAGCAUAGGGGGGGGGGGUUGGUAGGCCAACAAACAGCAGGGAGAAGGCGCCAUACGAAAGGCUCAGUCGACGUACACGGUUCUGCAGCAUCUGCAGGAGGGAAGGACACAAAAGAACUACAUGUCCGGACAGAGGGGACGCACCGAAGAAGCCUAGGAAACCUGGGCGAUGCAAGAACUGCGGAAUCGAAGGUCACCGCCGGAACACGUGCACUAGGCCAUUGGGCUUCGCUGCAAACUAGAUUUCGAUAG